AAACUUCUUUUGAACGGGAGAAACCCCUCGUACGUGUACGGGGCUGAUAGUACCGUUAGAAUAAGGGUCGGCUAACUUCGUGCCAGCAGCCGCGGUAAUACGAAGGACCCGAGCGUUAUCCGGAUUCAUUGGGUUUAAAGGGAGCGUAGGCGGAAUGAUAAGUCAGUGGUGAAAUCCUGCAGCUUAACUGCAGAACUGCCAUUGAUACUGUCGUUCUUGAAUACAACUGAUGUGGGCGGAAUGUGCCAUGUAGUGGUGAAAUACUUAGAUAUGGCACAGAACACCGAUUGCGAAGGCAGCUCACAAAAUUGUUAUUGACGCUGAGGCUCGAAAGCGUGGGGAUCAAACAGGAUUAGAUACCCUGGUAGUCCACGCCCUAAA
Molecule: ribosomal RNA, 381 nt
Filed under: uncultured bacterium
Lineage: Bacteria
Description: bacterial SSU rRNA
Rfam family: Bacterial small subunit ribosomal RNA
Source: RNAcentral